This 437-nucleotide long non-coding RNA is filed under the name Lathyrus oleraceus (garden pea). Its description in RNAcentral is "Pisum sativum (pea) long non-coding RNA (PSAT_LNC023431)". The record is from RNAcentral. Lineage: Eukaryota; Viridiplantae; Streptophyta; Magnoliopsida; Fabales; Fabaceae.
AAAUUUUUUCUUUGGACUCAUUCAGCUCUUUGUUUCUCCAAUCAUCACAUGUAAUGGGAAUUUCAUUCCUUACUAGUGCACCGAUAAAACUAGUUAAGGUAUGCCCAUUAGGUUCUAUAAGUUGUCCCUGGUUGUUCCAAUAGACAUCUAGUAUGAUGCCUCGAGAUCUUCCUUGGACCACCCUUCUCAUUACUGUGAUGCCUCUUCGAAUUUCUUCUUCCGCGGAUACUUUUUUACUAACUUCCUCAUGUUGGUCAUCAGCCAUGUCUAACCUGUAAUAAACCAAGGAAACCAUCAAAUAUCAAAUAUAACUUAUAAUCAAAGCAAUUGAAAACAAAAAAAUAAAGAAAUCAUGCAUUAUCAGAUAUAACUUAUAAUCAAAGCAAUUGAAAACAAAAAUAUAAUGAAAUCAUGCAUUAUCACAUAUAACUUAUAAU